This 161-nucleotide ribosomal RNA is filed under the name uncultured bacterium. RNAcentral describes it as "partial 16S ribosomal RNA". It matches the Rfam family "Bacterial small subunit ribosomal RNA", at positions 355 to 507 of the family's 1533-position model. The record is from RNAcentral.
UAGGGAAUCUUCGGCAAUGGGGGGAACCCUGACCGAGCAACGCCGCGUGAGUGAAGAAGGUUUUCGGAUCGUAAAGCUCUGUUGUAAGAGAAGAACGGGUGUGAGAGUGGAAAGUUCACACUAUGACGGUAUCUUACCAGAAAGGGACGGCUAACUACGUG